GGUCGUAAUGGAGUUCUUAGGUUAUGGGAGGCAACCAUCAACAUUUAACUUUGUAUUACUUCUUCCAUUUAUUAUGGUGUCAAUUAUUGAAGGAACUGCAUCAACAUUUAACGUUGUAUUCAAUCUUCCAUUCAUCAUAGUGUGAAUUGUUGAAGGCAAGAUAGGAAGUGCUUGAAUGGUGAUGAUGUAAAUCCAAUUUUCUUCAAUUUGUAGAAUCUACAUUGUAUGAUUUGAGCAUUCAAAUAUAAAACCCCAAUUUUACCUGGGC
This 268-nucleotide unclassified non-coding RNA is filed under the name Hevea brasiliensis (rubber tree). The record is from RNAcentral. Lineage: Eukaryota; Viridiplantae; Streptophyta; Magnoliopsida; Malpighiales; Euphorbiaceae.